Molecule: ribosomal RNA, 910 nt
Filed under: Protoparmelia badia
Lineage: Eukaryota; Fungi; Ascomycota; Lecanoromycetes; Lecanorales; Parmeliaceae
Description: SSU rRNA
Rfam family: Bacterial small subunit ribosomal RNA
Source: RNAcentral
GGUCAAUAGCCUAACGGCUGAACCAGCAACUUGGAGGAAUGUAUAGCAAUAGCUGAUUGCACCAACAAACAGUUGAUGCAAUAUCGACUAUGUCGAAUAAAAUUCUAGGUAGAAUUAUGAUAAUGACAUUGUCUGCCUAUGUGUCUUGACCAACAUACGUGCCAGCAGUCGCGGUAAUACGUAAAAGACUAGUGUUAUUCAUCUUUAAUAGGUUUAAAGGGUACCUAGACGGUAAAUCAAGCCUUUUACCUUAGGGACUAAUUUACUAGAGUUACUUGUGAGGGGGUUUUAAAGUACUGCUGGUGUAGAGAUGAAAUUCUGUCAUACCUCUUUUCGUAAGAAAAACUAUGGCACAGGUAUAGGCGAAAGCAUCCCCUUAUGUGAUAACUGACGUUGAGGGACGAAGGCUCUUUGUCGCGAACAGGAUUAGUUACCCCAGUAGUCAGAGCAGAAAAUGAUGAAUGUCAUAGAUUAGAUAAAUAAUAUUUACUCUAUAAAUGAAAGUGUAAGCAUUCCACCUCAAGAGUAAUUUGGCAACAUUGGAACUGAAAUCAUUAGACCGUUUCUGAAACCAGUAGUGAAGUAUGUUGUUUAAUUUGAUGAUCCGCAAAAAACCUUACCACAAUUUGAAUAUUUAUAUUUAUAUAUAUUUACAAGCGUUGCACGGCUGUCUUCAGUUAAUGUCGUGAGACUUUGGUUAGAUCCAUUAAAUUAACGUAAACCCUUACUUUAUUUUUAUAUAAAGUGGUUCCCCACUAUAUUGGAUAUGAUAACAGGGACUAGGACAAGUCAUCAUGGCCUAAAUAUUGUGGGCUAUAGACGUGCCACAUAAGCCUUACAAAAGGGUGUGAAAUUGUGAAAUUGAGCUAAUCCCCCAAAUCUGGAUAUACACUCGCAAUGGAUUGUAGUC